CAAAACAUCGCCUCCUGAUCACCCAUAGGAGGUCCAGCCUGCCCAGUGACUAAGUUAAACGGCCGCGGUACCCUAACCGUGCAAAGGUAGCGCAAUCACUUGUUCUUUAAAUGAGGACUAGUAUGAACGGCAUCACGAGGGUUAUGCUGUCUCCCUAUUCUAUUCAGUGAAACUGAUCUCCCCGUGAAGAAGCGGGGAUAAAAAUAUAAGACGAGAAGACCCCAUGGAGCUUUAAACUCAGUACCAACUGCCCAAUUAAAAACCUUUUACCCCUGCAGCUAUGGUUACUAGUUUUCGGUUGGGGUGACCACGGAGUAAAAAUUAACCUCCACGAUGAAAGGAAUUAACAACCUAACCUAUGAGCUACAGCUCUAAGUAUCAAUAAAUUGACUAAUUGAUCCAAUGACUUGAUCAACGAACCUAGUUACCCUGGGGAUAACAGCGCAAUCCAUUUCAAGAGCUCAUAUCGACAAAUGGGUUUACGACCUCGAUGUUGGAUCAGGGUAUCCCAGUGGCGCAGCCGCUACUAACGGUUCGUUUGUUCAACGAUUAAAACCCUACGUG
This 564-nucleotide ribosomal RNA is filed under the name Microhyla mymensinghensis. RNAcentral's name for it is "partial large subunit ribosomal RNA". It matches the Rfam family "Bacterial large subunit ribosomal RNA", at positions 1809 to 2602 of the family's 2925-position model. The record is from RNAcentral. Lineage: Eukaryota; Metazoa; Chordata; Amphibia; Anura; Microhylidae.